UACGGGGGGGGCAAGCGUUGUUCGGAAUUACUGGGCGUAAAGGGCUCGUAGGCGGCCAACUAAGUCAGACGUGAAAUCCCUCGGCUUAACCGGGGAACUGCGUCUGAUACUGGAUGGCUUGAGUUUGGGAGAGGGAUGCGGAAUUCCAGGUGUAGCGGUGAAAUGCGUAGAUAUCUGGAGGAACACCGGUGGCGAAGGCGACAUCCUGGACCAACACUGACGCUGAGGAGCGAAAGCCAGGGGAGCAAACGGG
Molecule: ribosomal RNA, 253 nt
Filed under: uncultured bacterium
Lineage: Bacteria
Description: partial 16S ribosomal RNA
Rfam family: Bacterial small subunit ribosomal RNA
Source: RNAcentral